Molecule: non-coding RNA, 769 nt
Organism: Xiphophorus couchianus (Monterrey platyfish)
Lineage: Eukaryota; Metazoa; Chordata; Actinopteri; Cyprinodontiformes; Poeciliidae
Source: the annotation of a RefSeq genome assembly
GGAGCUGAGAGCUUCAGGGAGGAGCUGAUCUGUUCCUGAUCUCUAAAGAGACUCAAACUUCCUCCUUCAGUUCAGUUCAACUCUCCAACAUUAACUCUGCUCAACAUGGACUAUUAUGGUCUGUCUCUGCUCAUCAUCUCUCUGCUAACAGGAGUCAGAUGCCAACAACUCACUGCGCUUCAGAAAGAAGAGUUCGCUGUAGAAAGCAGCAAAGUUACUCUGUCCUACACUUACUCCAAAACAGCCACUGGAACUGAUUAUUUCUUCUGGUAUCGACAAUAUCCUGGAAAACCUCCAGAGUUCCUGAUCUCCCACACAGGAACAGGAACACAAACUUCUCAGCCGCUUCCUGGUUUCUCCUUCAACAUGAAUGCUGAUAAAACCCAGAUGGAUCUGCUGAUCUCCUCUGCUGCAGUGACAGACUCUGCUGUGUACUACUGCGCUGUGAAGCCCACAGUGACAGGAAACACCAGAACCCUGUACAAAAACCUGCAGUACUCCCCAGCAGCCACUAGAGGGCCUCACUCCCUGUUAAACCACAAACAGCCAACAUUUAAACCAUGAGGCUGUUUGUGAACAAGCAGCAGAUCACUUUUUAAAUGAUGACGAAGGCCAUAUGCUGAGCUGAGGAUGCUGCCUGGACCCCAUGAAGAGAUGCAGAGACUGUAGAUCUUUGGGAAACUCUGGACUGGCUUUGUUUCCUCCAGAUUGUGCUCCGGUCUGUAAAAUGGGCUUGUGUUUAAUAAAAAUGUUCUUUUUAUUCAUCUUA